UUAUCGGGUCCGCUUCGUUCGGCUCCGCUCGCUAUCCCGCGCCAGUGUUUUUUCUUUUCUCCCCGUGUAGCUUCUUCUGUCUCUUUCCUCGCCGCUCGACCCCCUUGUCAUUUCGAACAUGUAAUCCGGAACAGAGGCGAGUGAGAGAGAUCGCCAUGGCGAUUUGGAGCUGCCCCUCGCCUGAUUGGUUUUGUUAAAAGCCUAAUCUGUCGAUUUUGUUCGUCUGAUUUGGUAUGUUCCAUCCCUUUGUUUGUUCCUCAGAUCUGCUUGUUAGUGCUUAGGGUUUUCUCGGUCAGAUCCGUUGCUUGUGUUAAUCUCCCACAUCCUCUGCUGUAGAUGUGUGAGGUUGCGUCGUUUCUGGGAUUGAAACUCGUCUGCCAUGCGAAUUUGAUUAGGCUUUUUGUUUACUUGUUAGUUUGAUUGAUCUGUAUGUGUGUCACGCCUUCACCUGCGUCGGCUAUGAUUAAUCUGUAUGUGUGUCACGCCUUCACCUGCGUCGGCGCCGGUGGACAACGAGUCGCCUGAACUUGAUGAUCCAGACGAUGGCGCAGAACACAACAGUCAGACAUGGUUGCAGAGGGUGAAGCCUCGAGUAGGUGUGGUGGGCUGACUGGUGUGCCCACGUGACAGGGUGUGUGUGCUCUGUAUAUUAGCUGGACAUGCGUGAGUUAAGUCUGAACCGUCUCUCCUGUUCUCUGAACCUCUCCCAACUCUCCUCUCCAUAUCCUAUCCUCCCCAAAUCCCUCUUGUAUUUUGUGAGAUCUAUCAUGAGAUGGGGCAUGACAUUGUGGUUACUUGUUUGAAUUCGGCUGGUUGUUUGGUUGAUCUGUAUGCGAUAUUGUGCAAUCUGAACAUAGUGGAUCGUGUUCAGUCCCCUGCUCUCAAGUGUUGUUAGUUAGUGUAUCUAUGUGUUAAUUUUCCCCUGGGCCGUUUUUUGUUGUCACUGUGUGGAUGUAUGGUUGGUCCCCUGGUUGCCUUGGGAUUGUCUCUGUAAUUCUCAUCGGAUUUACAGUGUAAUUCCUAUUGGAUUUGCAGUGUAAUUCCUGUUUGGUUUUGCAGUGUAAUUCCUAGUGGACUUACACUGUACCUCUCGCUGGGUUUACAAUGUAUUUCAUCGGAUUUAUACUGUAUUUGUCAUUGGAUUUACAGUUGGUUUAGAAUGUAAUUCAUUUUGGCUUUCGGUGUAAUUCCUACUGGGUUUAGAGUGUAAUUCCUAGUGGAUUUGCAUUUUGUAAUUCCCAUUUUUAGCGUGUAAGUGUUGAUGCUAGUUUGCCGUUGAAUUUCGCGUCCUUCGAGUCCAUAGCUUGAUGUAGGUUGGUCCUGCUGUAGCUCUUGAUUUUCUAAGGUUUGGAUUUUAGAUUUUAGGAACUAGAGUUUUCGGUUUACUGUCAUGAUUAUCAUUAUUUUUCUCCACAGUUUUAGUGGAUUUACACUGUAAAUCUUUAUUGGCUUUGCACUGUACUUCUUCGUGCAUUUGCACUGUAAAUGUUUGUGCUUUUGCAAUGUUAAUCUUAGUAUUUUGCAGUGUAAUUAUGACUUGUUUUGCGCUGUAAUUAUAACUGCAUUUUUGUUUGCUAGACACAAUAAUUGUUUUGUCCCAAUUUCCGUAAGUUGGGCAGUUCAGAAGUAAUUUACAGUGCUAACAAUUUAUAAUUUACAGUGGAUCUUCAGUUUCACUUCACCAUUACAGUGCUUUGAAUUCUAGUUCUUAGUUCUUAGUUUAUAGUUCCUAGUGGGUUUUACAUUGUACUCCCUCCGUCCGAAAAUACUUGUCAAGGAAAUCUUGACAAGUAUUUUCGGACGGAGGGAGUAAUUCUUAGUGGAUUUCUACUUAAAUUUUAUCGGUAUUACACUGUAAUUCUUUGCAAUCUUACAAUAAUCUUAGUGUAUAUGUUUGUUGGUUUAUAAUGUAAUCUUAGUGGAUUUAUGUAAUCUUUCUGUUUUUUCGCUGUAAACAUUAGUGGAUUUACACUGUAUUCUUGUGUAUGGCUUUGCAAAUCAAACCCAAGAGGCUUUCUUUUAGUGAAUUACUUGAAAUAAUUCUGUAUUUCGUAGUGGUUUGUCACUGUAAUUUGUAUCUCUUAUCAGUGUAAUUAUAUCGGCAUUCGUAGUGGUUUUCUGUCUGGCUCGAAGAAAUUUGAGUGCAGGUGCAUACAUACGAACCAAAUGCUAAAGAAGGGAGCAUCAAGGGGCAUGCAUUGUACCUGAAUGACGAUGAAGCAGAUUUUGUUAACAGCAGCGCAUACUCUUUUACCAAGCUACUACAUGCGCAAAUGAUGUAGAAGAUAUAAAUGCAUUGCAUAAAUCUCAUAUGCAUCAGCUAAUGAAGAAAGCAUGUUCUAUUAUGCAUUAGCUCAUGAACUAGCAUUGUUCUAUUAUGUGCAGCAACAGCAUGUGGAGCCUACGCCUGAUAUGCCAAACUACAUGGAAUGGCAGAGCACUGUUCAGGUCAUGUCUGGUGUGUUAGGAAGUAGUUUCAGUGCAAUUAUUUUUUAGUGCAGUGAAUUUUAUGGAUUACAGUGGAAUUAAUAGCUAAUGGAAUUUCGAAGUUUGAUUUAAACUGUAAUUCCUACUAAUUUUGAGUGUAAUUAUCAGUUGAUUUUCCUCUGUAAUGCUUAUUUUUGGAAUUUGAGUUUUCUUUUAGUGGAAUUACAGUGUAAUUGUUAGUGGAAUUGAAGGUGCAUAAGUUACACUGUAAUUCUGAAUUUUUUUCACUGUAAUCCGUGAUGAUUUACAGUGUAAUUAUUGAUUUUGCUCUGUAUUA
Long non-coding RNA from Triticum aestivum (bread wheat), 2764 nucleotides. RefSeq lists it as uncharacterized. The transcript has 2 exons. Lineage: Eukaryota; Viridiplantae; Streptophyta; Magnoliopsida; Poales; Poaceae. The record is from RefSeq and is a predicted model, not a curated record.